UACGUAGGGUGCAAGCGUUGUCCGGAAUUAUUGGGCGUAAAGAGCUCGUAGGCGGUCUGUCGCGUCGGCUGUGAAAACCCGGAGCUCAACUCCGGGCCUGCAGUCGAUACGGGCAGACUGGAGUUCGGCAGGGGAGACUGGAAUUCCUGGUGUAGCGGUGAAAUGCGCAGAUAUCAGGAGGAACACCGAUGGCGAAGGCAGCUCGCUGGGACGGUACUGACGCUGAGGCGCGAAAGCGUGGGGAGCAAACAGG
RNAcentral lists this ribosomal RNA (253 nucleotides) under uncultured bacterium. RNAcentral's name for it is "partial 16S ribosomal RNA". It matches the Rfam family "Bacterial small subunit ribosomal RNA", at positions 524 to 776 of the family's 1533-position model. The record is from RNAcentral.